UACGGAGGGUGCGAGCGUUAAUCGGAAUUACUGGGCGUAAAGGGUGCGUAGGCGGUUUAUUAAGUUAGCUGUGAAAUACCUGGGCUUAACCUGGGCAGGUCAGCUAAGACUGGCAGACUGGAGUAUGGGAGAGGGUAGUGGAAUUUACGGUGUAGCAGUGAAAUGCGUAGAGAUCGUAAGGAAGACCAGUGGCGAAGGCGGGUCUCUGGACAGUUCCUGACACUGAGGCACGAAGGCCAGGGGAGCAAACGGG
This 253-nucleotide ribosomal RNA is filed under the name uncultured bacterium. Its description in RNAcentral is "partial 16S ribosomal RNA". It matches the Rfam family "Bacterial small subunit ribosomal RNA", at positions 524 to 776 of the family's 1533-position model. The record is from RNAcentral.